GGACCAAUGGCCUAGUGGUUAUGGUGUCUGUCUUACACACAGAAGGUCCUGAGUUCAAUCCUCAGUUGGUCCA
Molecule: transfer RNA, 73 nt
Organism: Fistulina hepatica ATCC 64428
Lineage: Eukaryota; Fungi; Basidiomycota; Agaricomycetes; Agaricales; Fistulinaceae
Rfam family: tRNA
About the family: Transfer RNA (tRNA) molecules are approximately 80 nucleotides in length. Their secondary structure includes four short double-helical elements and three loops (D, anti-codon, and T loops).
Source: Rfam